GACUUGGUUGACUUAGGCUACUGUCUGAGAGGCUAGUAUUGUUUUAGUCUCUAACUAUAGAUACUGUCUGAGAGGCUAGUAUUGUUUUAGUCUCUAACUAUAGAUUCUGUCUGAGAGGCUAGUAUUGUUUUAGUCUCUCUAACUAUAGAUACUGUCUGAGAGGCUAGUAUUGUUUUAGUCUCUCUAACUAUAGAUACUGUCUGAGAGGCUAGUAUUGUUUUAGUCUCUCUAACUAUAGAUACUGUCUGAGAGGCUAGUAUUGUUUUAGUCUCUCUAACUAUAGAUACUGUCUGAGAGGCUAGUAUUGUUUUAGUCUCUAUAGAUACUGUCUGAGAGGCUAGUAUUGUUUUAGUCUCUCUAACUAUAGAUACUGUCUGAGAGGCUAGUAUUGUUUUAGUCUCUCUCCCUAUUCCCUAUAUAGAGCGUUAUGCAUUUUUGGACCAGAG
This 446-nucleotide long non-coding RNA is filed under the name Salmo salar (Atlantic salmon). Its description in RNAcentral is "lncRNA (ENSSSAG00000121826.1)". Lineage: Eukaryota; Metazoa; Chordata; Actinopteri; Salmoniformes; Salmonidae. The record is from RNAcentral.